This 470-nucleotide ribosomal RNA is filed under the name uncultured bacterium. RNAcentral's name for it is "bacterial SSU rRNA". It matches the Rfam family "Bacterial small subunit ribosomal RNA", at positions 29 to 518 of the family's 1533-position model. The record is from RNAcentral.
ACGAACGCUGGCGGCGUGCUUCAUACGAUGCAAGUCGAACGUGAAGCUGACUUCGGUCAGUGGAAAGUGGCGGACGGGUGAGUAAUAUGUAGAGAAUCUGCCCUUGAGUGGGGGACAACAGAGGGAAACUUCUGUUAAUACCCCAUAUGAGCUUAGUUGAAAUACUAAUCUUGAAAACUCCGGUGCUCAAGGAUGAGUCUGCAUCUGAUUAGCUUGUUGGCGGUGUAAUGGACCACCAAGGCGACGAUCAGUAGCUGGUUUGAGAGGAUGAUCAGCCACAAUGGGACUGAGACACGGCCCAUACUCCUACGGGAGGCAGCAGUAGGGAAUUUUGCGCAAUGGGCGAAAGCCUGACGCAAGCAACGCCGCGUGAACGAUUAAGCCCUUCGGGGUGUAAAGUUCUGUCAGCAGGGACGAAUCUUGACGGUACCUGCAGAGGAAGCACCGGCUAACUCCGUGCCAGCAGCUGC